RNAcentral lists this non-coding RNA (69 nucleotides) under Streptomyces albus. RNAcentral also lists the same sequence under 1 other name. The record is from RNAcentral. Lineage: Bacteria; Bacillati; Actinomycetota; Actinomycetes; Kitasatosporales; Streptomycetaceae.
GAGGAAGCCGGUGCGAAUCCGGCACGGUCCCGCCACUGUGAGCCCGGUCCCCGGGCGAGUCAGGAACUC